UACGAAGGGGGCUAGCGUUACUCGGAUUGACUGGGCGUAAAGGGCGCGUAGGCGGAUAGUACAGUCAGACGUGAAAUUCCUGGGCUCAACCUGGGGGCUGCGUUUGAUACGUGCUGUCUGGAGUUCGGAAGAGGGUCGUGGAAUUCCCAGUGUAGAGGUGAAAUUCGUAGAUAUUGGGAAGAACACCGGUGGCGAAGGCGGCGACCUGGUCCGAUACUGACGCUGAGGCGCGAAAGCGUGGGGAUCAAACAGG
Molecule: ribosomal RNA, 253 nt
Filed under: uncultured bacterium
Lineage: Bacteria
Description: partial 16S ribosomal RNA
Rfam family: Bacterial small subunit ribosomal RNA
Source: RNAcentral